This 67-nucleotide transfer RNA is filed under the name Sirex nitobei. RNAcentral describes it as "tRNA-Phe". The record is from RNAcentral. Lineage: Eukaryota; Metazoa; Arthropoda; Insecta; Hymenoptera; Siricidae.
ACUUAAAUAGCUUAUUAAUAAAGUUUAAUAUUGAAAAUGUUAAGAAAAUUUUUAAAAUUUUUAAGUA